This 1022-nucleotide ribosomal RNA is filed under the name Dothideomycetes sp. CGMMCC 3.17059. RNAcentral's name for it is "SSU rRNA". It matches the Rfam family "Eukaryotic small subunit ribosomal RNA", at positions 82 to 1099 of the family's 1831-position model. Lineage: Eukaryota; Fungi; Ascomycota; Dothideomycetes. The record is from RNAcentral.
UGAAACUGCGAAUGGCUCAUUAAAUCAGUUAUCGUUUAUUUGAUAGUACCUUACUACAAUGGGAUAACCGUGGUAAUUCUAGAGCUAAUACAUGCUAAAAACCCCGACUUCGGAAGGGGGUGUAUUUUAUUUAGAUAAAAAACCAAUGCCCUUCGGGGCUCCUUGGUGGAAUCAUAAUAACUUAAACGAAUUCGCAUGGCCUUGCGCCGGCGAUGGUUCAUUCAAAUUUCUGCCCUAUCAACUUUCGAUGGUAGGAUAGUGGCCUACCAUGGUAUCAACGGGUAACGGGGAAUUAGGGUUCGAUUCCGGAGAGGGAGCCUGAGAAACGGCUACCACAUCCAAGGAAGGCAGCAGGCGCGCAAAUUACCCAAUCCCGACACGGGGAGGUAGUGACAAUAAAUACUGAUACAGGGCUCUUAUGGGUCUUGUAAUUGGAAUGAGUACAAUUUAAAUCCCUUAACGAGGAACAAUUGGAGGGCAAGUCUGGUGCCAGCAGCCGCGGUAAUUCCAGCUCCAAUAGCGUAUAUUAAAGUUGUUGCAGUUAAAAAGCUCGUAGUUGAACCUUGGGCCUGGCUGGCCGGUCCGCCUCACCGCGUGUACUGGUCCGGCCGGGCCUUUCCUUCUGGGGAUCCGCAUGCCCUUCACUGGGCGUGUCGGGGAACCAGGACUUUUACUUUGAAAAAAUUAGAGUGUUCAAAGCAGGCCUUUGCUCGAAUACAUUAGCAUGGAAUAAUAGAAUAGGACGUGCGGUUCUAUUUUGUUGGUUUCUAGGACCGCCGUAAUGAUUAAUAGGGAUAGUCGGGGACAUCAGUAUUCAAUUUGUCAGAGGUGAAAUUCUUUGGAUUUAUUGAAGACUAACUAACUGCCGAAAGCAUUUUGUCAAGGAUGUUUUCAUUAAUCAGUGAACGAAAGUUAGGGGAUCGAAGACGAUCAGAUACCGUCGUAGUCUUAACCAUAAACUAUGCCGACUAGGGAUCGGGCGAUGUUACUAUUUUGACUCGCUCGGCACCUUACGAGAAAUC